Molecule: small nuclear RNA, 104 nt
Organism: Homo sapiens (human)
Lineage: Eukaryota; Metazoa; Chordata; Mammalia; Primates; Hominidae
Source: Ensembl
GUGCUCGCUUCAGCAGCACAUAUACUAAAAUUGGAACAAUACAGAGGUUAGCAUGGUCCCUGCAUAAGGAUGGCAUGCAAAUUGGGGAGGUGUUCCAUCUUUUU